AGCCGCAGCCCCACGCGGCUGGGGGAGAUUUGGCCCCUCGGAAGCAGCCCCGCCGCCGGCUCCUGAUCACCCUGGCGCGGUUCUCCUCUGCCUGGCCUGCCUUCCUCGCGGGCUUGCCGUGGACAGCGGCUCGGAACCCUUCGGGCUUAACCUGGGGUGGUCGCGCUCUGGGCGGGUUGCCCUGAAGGCAGACGUUCGCUGCAGGGAGUGCCUUGACCCUACCCUGCAGGGCUCUUAGAACAGAGGAUUGUCCCUGUCCCAUCAUGAUGGCCUUUGAAUGAAAUACCCGAUGUGUCCGUAUUCUGAGUAAAUGUGACCUGUUAGCCUUAUGGCUUCCAGCUCCCCUCAGCCAUACAAGCUUGGAUGUCAAUGCCUUGCUGGUAGCUGGACUAAAUAUUUGAUGUGUUGUGUCAUAUGUGUUCACGGUAGUUUGUACUGGGAGAUAAGCUGAGGUCAUAAAAAUACUGUGCCAACAGUUGCAGUUUCCCAGAUGCUGAAGAAAGAUACCACAAGGCUUUGCUCCACUCUCUGCAGUUUCUUUGCUACAGGUUUUGGAGAUCACAUUCACUGGAGAACACUAGAAGAUGGGAAGAAAGAGGCAGCAGCCAGGUAUGUUACUUACUUACGAAUACAGAAAAGAGGCUUUAAAAGUUCACCCAGAUUCCGUACCAGUGCUAACCAGUCCUAAAUUCAACCACAGAAAAUACAAAUUACUAACAAAGGUAUAGGAGACUGCUUAGAUCCUUACAGCUUAUUGGAGAAAUAAAAAAAUAUAUUUUUUCUUAACGUUGCUGAGGAAUCACCUGUGUUUAAUCACUUCAAUUAAAUGAUUGAGGCUCUGUCACGUCUCCAAAGUAAGAAGAGACCCACAAACUGAGACUUAAGGGCUACUCAGUCCCCUUGAACUCAUCAGUGCUCACUGCAUCUGUCAGCAUGGAUGUGCCCAUAUUGAUGUGAGAACUCGAUGUGAGAUAUUUUGUUACUAAGGAACAAACUGAUAUGUCAUUAAAGUAGAACCUUUUAUUGGUUGAAACACUGUCUCUGUGAAAAGAUUUAAAGAAAGUCAUUUUUAUGUUUCUCUCAGAAUAUUAUCGUUUUUGUGUUAAAACAUGGGAAAUGAAGCUGUCUAUCAGUU
Meleagris gallopavo (turkey) is the source of this 1135-nucleotide non-coding RNA. Lineage: Eukaryota; Metazoa; Chordata; Aves; Galliformes; Phasianidae. The record is from RefSeq and is a predicted model, not a curated record.